GGCAACCCUGACGGAGCAACGCCGCGUGGGGGAGGAAGGUCUGUGGAUUGUAAACUCCUUUUCUCUAGGAAGAAGUUCUGACGGUACUAGAGGAAUCAGCAUCGGCUAACUCCGUGCCAGCAGCCGCGGUAAGACGGAGGAUGCAAGCGUUAUCCGGAAUAAUUGGGCGUAAAGCGUUCGUAGGUGGUUCUGUAAGUCUGCUGUUAAAGCGUGUAGCUCAACUACAUAUAGGCGGUGGAAACUACAGAACUUGAGUGCGUUCGGGGUAGAGGGAAUUCCUGGUGUAGCGGUGAAAUGCGUAGAGAUCAGGAAGAACACCGGUGGCGAAGGCGCUCUGCUGGGCCAUAACUGACGCUGAGGGACGAAAGCUGGGGGAGCG
This 379-nucleotide ribosomal RNA is filed under the name uncultured cyanobacterium. RNAcentral describes it as "bacterial SSU rRNA". It matches the Rfam family "Bacterial small subunit ribosomal RNA", at positions 376 to 770 of the family's 1533-position model. Lineage: Bacteria; Bacillati; Cyanobacteriota. The record is from RNAcentral.